Molecule: ribosomal RNA, 951 nt
Filed under: Triticum aestivum (bread wheat)
Lineage: Eukaryota; Viridiplantae; Streptophyta; Magnoliopsida; Poales; Poaceae
Description: partial small subunit ribosomal RNA
Source: RNAcentral
AUGGACCACGACGCCGCCGCCGCUUCCCCGUCUGCCUCGCCCUCCUCCUCCGGUGCCUCCCCCUCGCCGCGCUCCAAGCGUCGCCGCACCGACCGCUAUGCGCUCGGCUUCGAGUUCGCUCCGCGCUCUGCGCCCUCAGCUCCGGCCCCGCGCACGACGCCUGAGUGGACGGAGGAGUCCACCUUCGCGCUCCUCGACGCCUGGGGCGAACGCUUCGCCUGCGACGGCCGCCGCAGCCUCAGCGCCGACGAGUGGCUCGAGGUCUCCCGCAUCGUAGCCGCCGCCGCCUCCCGCCCCGCGGGAUACUUCUCCGAGUCGCAGUGCCGCAACCGCAUCGACACCCUCAGGAAGAUGUUUCGGAAGGAGAAGGAGAGGUCCCGCCUGGCUGCCCACCGCUCCAGCAACCCCUCGCCCACCAAAUGGGUAUACUUCGACAAGAUGCUGUCCGUCAUGUGCCCACCGACGCCGACGCCGACGCCGCCGCCACUACUGCCGCCACUAACUCCUCUCGUGACGCGGCGCCGUGACACGCAUCCAGUGCCACGCCGUUCGUGGGGGGUGGACGUCGGGGAGCUUGUGCUCGCUGGAUGUAGCAAAGUGGUACCAGGGAAUUCAGUGCCAGAUGCGCAAUUGAGGGGAAAACAGACAUAUGAGGCUGGCGCAGUGCAGGGGGAGGAAUUUGCGAUUCUCACAGAGGCAAUUCAUAGGCUUAGGGAGGUUUAUGAGAGAGUGGAGAGUAGCAGGAGGCAGCACAUGGCGGAGUUGAAACGUAUGCGGAAGGAUAUGCAAAGGGACCUUGAGGUGAGGCGGAGAGAGAUUUUGGAAAAGGCACAAAUGGAGAUAGCGAGUCUUGAGGAGGAGGAUGCAAAGGAGGGUGCUGUUAACAAUAGAUUAGAGGAUCACAAUGGUGUUGAGGAGCAGAACAAUGGCGCUUUGGAUGCUUCUCCUUAG